UCCCGGUGUGUCCCGGGGUGUCCCGGGGGGGUGUCCCGGUGUGUCCCGGUGUGUCCCGGGGGGGUGUCCCGGUGUGUCCCGGGGUGUCCCGGGGGGGUAUCCCGGUGUGUCCCGGGGCUCACGGGGCUGUCCCGCUGUCCCAGGAGGGGCUGGAGGAGGCGCGGCGGGCGCUGGCGGAGGCGCGGCGGGAGAAGGGAAUGCUCCGGGAGCAGCUCCGGGAACAGCGGGAGCUGGGAAUGCUGCGGGAACCGGGAAUGCCGAAGGAACCGGGAAUGCCGAAAGAACCGGGAAUGCUGCGGGAGCAGCUCCAGGAGCCGGGAAUGCCGAAAGAGCCGGGAAUGCCACCGGAACCGGGAAUGCCACCGGAGCCCUCCGAGGACCCACAGGACGAGGUCUGUGUGUCCGGGCAGGAGCGGGAGCCUCCCGGCCGGGCUGGAUCCCCGCAAAUCCCCGCGGGCUCGGCCGAGCGGGAGCUGGAGGAGGCUCGGAAGCGCAUCCAGGUGCUGCGGGCGCAGCUCUCGGUGCUGGAGCUCCGGGCCCGGCCGGUUCCCCGGGGAGCGGAUCCGGCUCGGCCGGGGGGACCUGGAGGAGCAGAUCGCGCUGCUCAAGGAGCAGGAGCUGCAGCGCCAUCCCAGCGGGAUUUAGGGAAUUCCAUCCAGCGGGAUUUAAGGAAUUCCAUCCAGCGGGAUUUAAGGAAUUCCACCCAGCGGGAUUUAAGGAAUUCCACCCAGCGGGAUUUAGGGAAUUCCAUCCUCUCAGGGCUGAGCCAGCCCCAUCCCGGCCCGUUCUGUCUCCUCGUUCCCUUCCCUCCGGGAAAAAGCCGCACUUUUCCCACCAGCCGACAAAAUUUGUCUGUUUUUUAAACAAUUUUGGACCUCAUGGAUGGUUCACCCCAUUUUCCUGCUGCGGUUUUAAACGGGAAAAAGAAAAAAUAAAUGGAAAAUAUUCCCUUUUUUUAGCCCCA
This 964-nucleotide long non-coding RNA is filed under the name Cyanistes caeruleus (blue tit). Its description in RNAcentral is "lncRNA (ENSCCEG00000013266.1)". The record is from RNAcentral. Lineage: Eukaryota; Metazoa; Chordata; Aves; Passeriformes; Paridae.